Podarcis muralis (Common wall lizard) is the source of this 458-nucleotide long non-coding RNA. RefSeq lists it as uncharacterized. The record is from RefSeq and is a predicted model, not a curated record. Lineage: Eukaryota; Metazoa; Chordata; Lepidosauria; Squamata; Lacertidae.
UACCAACCCAAAACGUCAAGGAAUGGAAGUGAAGGAACCGGCCUCUUUCAGGCUGAAUGGGAGAAAAGGUAGCUGGUUAUUACGCUGAUUCCUCUGUUCGUCUUGAUUGGAAUCGGAGGGACCGGCCUGUGCACCAUGUGCCUUGCUCUUCGCAACCCUGAUGUCAGAUCUACUCCUUGCUGCCUGCCUCUUGUCACGUUUCUCUGCCUGGCUGGGACAAAAAGAGCAACCCAGAGCCUUGGAACAAGCUGUGACCCAACGACCAGUACAAGGGAUGUCCGGAGCCGGUGAGGUUUUCCCCAAGUCCAAAGUCAUGAAGAGAACCGCAGGACGUCCCUAUUUACAUUGGAGAAAUGAACGUGAAAUACUGGCAGCGAACAAUGGACAAGGCAGUGGCCGUACCUGAGAGAAGGAGCUUUGAAGGGAGACUGCAGGCGGACAUCUGCUGCAUUGCAAGU